UGAGGAAUAUUGCACAAUGGGCGAAAGCCUGAUGCAGCGACGCCGCGUGAAGGAUGAAGCACCUCGGUGUGUAAACUUCUGUUGCGAGGGACGAAUGCCUACUUCGGUAGGAGUGACGGUACCUCGCGAGAAAGCUCCGGCUAACUACGUGCCAGCAGCCGCGGUAAUACGUAGGGAGCAAGCGUUGUCCGGAUUUACUGGGCGUAAAGGGCGUGUAGGUGGAAUGAUUAGUCGGUGGUGAAAGGUGUGGGCUUAACCCGCAGAUUGCCUUCGAUACUGUCAUUCUUGAGUGGAGGAGAGGAAAAUGGAAUUCCCGGUGUAGCGGUGGAAUGCGCAGAUAUCGGGAGGAACACCGGCGGCGAAGGCGGUUUUCUGGCCUCCUACUGACACUGAAACGCGAAAGCGUGGGGAGCAAACAGG
Molecule: ribosomal RNA, 420 nt
Filed under: uncultured bacterium
Lineage: Bacteria
Description: bacterial SSU rRNA
Rfam family: Bacterial small subunit ribosomal RNA
Source: RNAcentral